Long non-coding RNA from Choloepus didactylus (southern two-toed sloth), 5024 nucleotides. RefSeq lists it as uncharacterized. The transcript is spliced from 3 exons. Lineage: Eukaryota; Metazoa; Chordata; Mammalia; Pilosa; Megalonychidae. The record is from RefSeq and is a predicted model, not a curated record.
UCACAGACUAUGAUGAUGGCAUUUUGAUAAGAUUUCCAUCUUUAAGAACUUGAACCAGCAUUCUCUUAUUAAUUCUUUAAGCUGUGGAAAUAAUCUCCCAGUUCUUAACACUCUGAUAUGCAUCCUCUUUAUUAAAAAAUAAUGCUAAUAAAAGGCAGUGUGCUUAAACUGUGCUUUGCAAAUAUUAUGUAUGUUAUGAAUGACUACAGUCACCGGGCAAAUUAUUUGUAAGAUGAUUAUCCUUUGAGCUAGUAAAAAAAUCAUCACAACCAUUUUGGGCAGAAUGUUUCUUUUUAAUGUUAAUCAAGGGGAAGUGAUUUAAAUAUGCAUGCAUAUAGCAGAGUCAGGAAAAUUUCAUUGUUUUUCCCUAUAAGAAAAAAGACUGUCAAAAGGUGUAACUUGUUUUUCUCUUCUCUGGGAGUUGAAACCAUCAUCAUUUGAUAUUGGUACAGUACAAGAAAUGAAGAUUUGUUUUUUCACUUCAGAAUUUAAGUGACUUUUGCCCAAGGAAUCUGAGAAAUAAAGCAAAUAAGUUGCUCUAUCUUAAAGUAGUCAUUCAAUAUAAAUAUAUCAAUCUUAACUUUUUUAUUCUCUGAUAUGAUUAAUAAUGUGUAUAUUCUUACUUUUUGUUCUAAUGUGCGUAUGUAUCCUUGUGGACACUCUGGAGAGAGGUUUUCUUGGGCUCUCCCAUUUAUAGAAUCUUUAUACUCUUUUACUGCGUGGUCCCCUGAUUUUAACAGAUUUCUGAGGCAAUUAUAUUUGUGCUUUUUUCUUAUGUAGGAAGACCAGUGAAAAUAGUUUACUGAGUUGUCAAUUUUAUCAGUAGAUAAGCAACUUUCUUUAUUACAGUUUCAGGGAAGAUUUUUUCAGGAUAUUUCUCAGUAAUUCUAAGGGCCAAGUUUUAUAAAAUUUCCAUUAGGAAUACAAGUUUCAAAUACCCUUUGUAUAGCCUGGGCCUAUGAGGAUAACAAGACUUGAGCCUUAUGUAUCUUAACACAGGAAUUUACAAGUUCCCAAAGUAACCGUCUCCAUGUUAAGACUAUUGCACAUCCUUUUCUGAGAUUUGGUUGAUUUUAAGUAAUGGUUCUUACACACCGUUCAUUCUAUUUGACUUAUUCCACCACAUUCCCUUUUAUUUCAUGACCUGGCAAAUUCUGCUAUUUGAUGGUAACUCAGUUCCCGGCCCCUUUCUGUGGAGCCCACGUUUUUCAAUCACAAUAAAAAUUAAACCAAGUUGAUGACACUGAGCUCUUUUCCAUUUUGCUUAUUGCUGGCUUUUUCCUUGAAUCCUAACAUUAUUCUCAUUUUUAAAAUUGUAGUUAUUUUUUUUUUUACCACUACCUGUAUCAAUCAGCUGCCUAAUUAGUUUUAUCUAUUCCACGUGGAUGCAGUGAGUUUAUAAGAGAAUUUCACAAACAAGUAGUUUUUUAGUGAACUUAAAAUAAACAGAAUUUUAAAGGAGACCUAUUUUUAUACUCAAUAAAAGCACAAAAGUGCAGAAAGUAUAAAAUGGCUUACAAAGGGAAACAUAAGUUCAUAAUGUUCCAUGUAUAAAAGUAAUAAUUUUAUUGGGUAGAGAUAUUCUUAAAAGAACAAAUACCUCUGCCAGUGCACAGAUAGGACUGUUUUAAAUGUCUUAAGAACUUCUGAUUGCCUGCAGUUGCAAACAGAUGACUUCUCUAUAAGGAAAACAAACCACUAAAAGCAAUAUGAUCAAGUUGGUAUGUGGUUUUUAAUGAGAAAGAUGAAAUUAAACAACCUGGAAGUGCAAACGUGGAGGCUCCAGUCUUAUUGUUUGAUCAAACUUCUUUUAUGUAAUCACUUAGACUUGGAUUUUUCUCUGCUGUGAAAAUGACAAAAUAAAGCAAUAGCUCAAAGAAAUUUGACAACUUGAAAAAUAGAAUUUGUUCCUGGGUCCUAGAAGAUGAUUAAAAAGAAAAAAAUAUGAUGCUUACCUUAUUUUAUCAGCCGAAUGACAUUCCCCCUUCCAAAAAAAAAAAAAAAACUGGAAAUAGUAAUAGAUCAUAUAAAGAAUUUUGAUCAAAUAGAUAUUGACAAAGGGCCCUCUAUCACAUUUUUUUUUUUUCCAUCUGGCUUAUGUUCAGUAAACAGUAUGCCUCAUCCCUUGUAUCACACUGGGAGAAACGUUCUAUGCCAUUACCAUUACUUUCCCAUUUUGUCUACUUUUACUCCUGUACAUAUGUUGUGAGUUUAAGAGUCUUUUGCAUUUGUUCUGUGACACCUUUUUUCUGAAUGGACUGUUUUAAAACGGAGGCCUGUUUUCCGGUAUGGGACUCCUAGUGGUUAUGGCAUUCCAUGAUGCUUUGUGAUGGCCACCAGGACAGAAACAUCUGAUGUUUUAGAGCAGUUUUUCAGCAUGACACUGUUAAAAAAAAGUCUGUAUUUUCCAAGGCCACAUGAAAUUUACUUUCAUAGCCACUCCAGGGUUGGGAGCGGAAAAGCUGAAAAACACUUUUGUUUAGGAGUCUGAGUGGUUUGUGGGGGUGGGGGGGAAGCUUUUCUAGGGUUUGCAUGCCAGUGCACGGCCGAUUGCUGUGAAACAGAGAGAGGGUGAAGCUACCUGUGUGGCCCGGCACUGGAGAAUGCAGUGUUUGAUAGCGCUAGGGGGGAAAAAGAAAAUGCAUGGCAAAGUUUUGUCUUCUCGUAGACUAUUAUAGCAUGCAGAGUUUAGUGUGUUAAAACAGUGUAUGACAUUGCUGUAUCAAAGUUGUAAAAUUAAGCAUUAUUUAUUGAAAACUAUGUAUUUUUUUGUAAAAACCUGAUCACAUAGAGAAUAUCAGUGGCUUGUGCUAGUGCUCCAAUCUAACCAGCUUCUUGACUACCGUCCUUGGUAUGCAGUGUUAAACGCUCAGGGUUGAACAUAGUACACUCCGAUGUCUCUUUGGCAAGAGUUUUUCACAGAGGAAGACAUUUGUUCAAAAGACUCUAAUAAAAUUCUGUGAUCAAUCUGCACCUGUGGUUCUUAUGUGAAUUUUUUUUUCCAGUUUUGCCUUGGAUAUAACUACUGUUUAAUUCCUAAAGUGUUCUCUCAAAACUGAUAUUAUGGACAGGCUUGAAAAGUACUGGGUUCCUCAGCGUCCACCGUAACUGGAGGAUUCCAGCUAUGUUGGGGAGGAAUAGACUACACCAGCAGUGAACACUGGGCAUGUUUGAGAGAUGCUGAAAAAGUGAGAUAAGCAUGAAUGUAGACAGGAAAGCUCGAGCACCAACUGUGAUCUUGUGAUUCAGAAGGAGAGGAAAAAUGAAUUGAAGAGUCCUUGGUCAACCCUGACAUCCUAGAGCUGCUGAAUCAUUGCCGACUGCUGUCCUUUUGUUUGGGCAUAAUUUGUGACUGAACCAGGUCUUGUUUGAGGUUCCUUUCAGCUCUAACAAAUGAUUCCAGCAGCUACUAUUUAUUCACACUCAGAGUGCCAGUUGGUAGACAUUGGUAUAAACUCAUGCUUUCAGGGUCCGGCAGGUAAUGCAAUUGAAGGAAAAGGGCAAGGCUGCAUGAAGAUUUUGCCUAUGGAAACUGUUGGCAAGCCCCAACUAAAAAGACAUUUGCAUGCAAAACAUUCUCAAACACUCAGUGCCCCAAACUGAAUGGCUAUGGGGAGGGGGAAGGGAAGGACUCAUUUCCUCUUGUUUGGGAGAUGCUUUGUGGUUUUCCAAUGCCCUGGUUACUUUGUUCCAAGAGAAGACUAUUGUGUUGAACUUCACAAUGGGGGAGAGCAGGAGCAAUUAUUUUUUAGGUCAGGAAAUCUCAAACUCAAGUUUGAUGUAGUUCUUUUAAAAAUGAUGUUCUUGAAUAUAUAUAUAUACACACACACAGCUGUUUCAGUUGACAGACUUCUUUAAUUGGAAAAGCAUAAAAAUAUUAAAGCAUUAAUAUGGAUAAUACAAUGUUUCAGAAAUCAUGAAUCUGGAGGUCUUCUGCAAAUGCAUGUUUUCCCCUAAACUAAUGAUUUCCAAACAUACCAAACAAACAUCAGAAUCACAUGAUCAAAAAUACAGAGUUCUGGGCUCAAUUCCUGUAAUACUGAUUCUUUGUGUUUGGAGUGAGGCCCAGGAUCUGUAUUUUUUUUUUUAACAAAUGUAUCCAGCUGAUUCUAAGACCUUGGGGCCAGCUUCUGAGAUCCAUAGUCUUAAAUCAGUGAAAGAAUAAAUUUGAAGAAAAAUCAGUUUAUUUACCAAGUAGUAAGGUUUCUGUUAACUAAACAAACUUCUUGUUUUGCCACCUCUAUACCUUUAGUCACACUUCAUUCAAGAGAUGUUUGUUGGGUGCCACUUGGUGCCAGGUACACAGAGAUGAAAGAAUCCCUUUGGGGGUUCAUCGUGAGACUGAGGAGCACCAGAAGCAAAUCUGUAACUGGCUCUCUGCAAGCCAGGUGCUAUGACUGAGGUGAGGGCAGGGCCACAGUCAGUCCAGAAUGGGGGAGUCUCCAGAGGCUUCCUGGAGGAGGUGAUGUCUUGGUCCUAAAGGUUAUCUCAAAGAAGGACAGAGCUCGGAGUUUCUAGGCAGCACGUCUGCAAGGAGUUGUGAAACAGUGAUUGUGCUCCAGAAACUGCAAGUUGGUUUCCCUCCCUGGAGCCCACAAGGCGAGGAAAGUAGCAUGGUGCAUGGUGGGUUGUGACUAAAUGUGUGCUGGUUGCACUCUUAGUUCUGUUGUGGCACAGGACAAUUGUGCUUUGCGUCGGGUCACUGUAUUUUAAACCUCUGUCUGCCUCCCACUGUCUUGUGUUUUUCUUUCCUGACCCCACCAUCAGACCUCAGGCCCAAAUUUCAUGGAUGCAGGCUGAAAGUUAGUGUGAGUCAAAUCAUGUUAAAACCACAACUUGAUUUUCCCAUUGCUUGCUCAAUGAGUGACAUUGCUGUGACAAAAAAAUAGAAGUUGAGAAAGAAAUAAAAUAGAAAACUCAGUAGGUCUUAUGACUGAUGAAAAAUUAUGAAUACUUACAUAGUUCUGAUGCUGACAACCUUUUAGUUCAUUGUCUCAUCUGAAAACUGGGGCAAUAGCACUGAC